This 596-nucleotide ribosomal RNA is filed under the name uncultured Basidiomycota. RNAcentral's name for it is "LSU rRNA". It matches the Rfam family "Eukaryotic large subunit ribosomal RNA", at positions 399 to 981 of the family's 3401-position model. Lineage: Eukaryota; Fungi; Basidiomycota. The record is from RNAcentral.
GUGAAAUUGUUGAAAGGGAAACGCUUGAAGUCAGUCGCGUCGACCGAGACUCAGCCUUGCCUUGGCUUGGUGUACUUCUCGGCUGACGGGUCAGCAUCAAUUUUGCCCCUUGGAUAAUGAUGAGGGAAACGUGACACCUUUAUGGUGUGUUAUAGUCUCUUGUCGCAUGCAAGGGUCGGGAUUGAGGAACUCAGCACGCACCUUUGGGUGUCGGGGCUUUGCCCACGAUACGUGCUUAGGAUGUUGGCGUAAUGGCUUUAAACGACCCGUCUUGAAACACGGACCAAGGAGUCUAACAUGCCUGCGAGUGUUCGGGUGGAAAACCCGUGCGCGUAAUGAAAGUAAAAGUUGGGACCUCUGUCGUGGAGGGCACCGACGCCCGGACCAGACCUUCUGUGACGGCUCUGCGGUAAAGCAUGUAUGUUAGGACCCGAAAGAUGGUGAACUAUGCCUGAAUAGGGUGAAGCCAGAGGAAACUCUGGUGGAGGCUCGUAGCGAUUCUGACGUGCAAAUCGAUCGUCAAAUUUGGGUAUAGGGGCGAAAGACUAAUCGAACCAUUUAGUAUCUGGUUCCUGCCGAAGUUUCCCUCAGGAUAA